Molecule: ribosomal RNA, 500 nt
Filed under: uncultured bacterium
Lineage: Bacteria
Description: bacterial SSU rRNA
Rfam family: Bacterial small subunit ribosomal RNA
Source: RNAcentral
GAUGAACGCUAGCGACAGGCCUAACACAUGCAAGUCGAGGGGCAGCACAUGAGUAGCAAUACGAUGGUGGCGACCGGCGCACGGGUGAGUAACACGUAUGCAACCUGCCUGUAAGAGGGGAAUAACCCGGAGAAAUUCGGACUAAUACCGCAUAAUACCACGAGACUGCAUGGUUUUGUGGUUAAACAUUUAUGGCUUACAGAUGGGCAUGCGUAUGAUUAGAUAGUUGGUAGGGUAACGGCCUACCAAGUCUACGAUCAUUAGGGGUUCUGAGAGGAAGGUCCCCCAACUGGUACUGAGACACGGACCAGACUCCUACGGGAGGCAGCAGUGAGGAAUAUUGGUCAAUGGGGCAGAGCCUGAACCAGCCAAGUCGCGUGAAGGAAGAAGGUUCUAAUGGAUUGUAAACUUCUUUUGCAGGGGAAUAAAGGGACGUACGUGUACUGUUUUGUAUGUACCUUGCGAAUAAGGAUCGGCUAACUCCGUGCCAGCAGGCCGAC